This 466-nucleotide ribosomal RNA is filed under the name uncultured bacterium. Its description in RNAcentral is "partial 16S ribosomal RNA". It matches the Rfam family "Bacterial small subunit ribosomal RNA", at positions 28 to 507 of the family's 1533-position model. The record is from RNAcentral.
GAUGAACGCUGGCGGCGUGCUUAACACAUGCAAGUCGAACGAUGAAGCCCAGCUUGCUGGGUGGAUUAGUGGCGAACGGGUGAGUAACACGUGAGUAACCUGCCCUUGACUCUGGGAUACGCCUGGGAAACUGGGUCUAAUACUGGAUAUGACUUCUCAUCGCAUGGUGGGGGGUGGAAAGAUUUAUUGGUCUUGGAUGGACUCGCGGCCUAUCAGCUUGUUGGUGAGGUACUGGCUGACCAAGGCGACGACGGGUAGCCGGCCUGAGAGGUGGACCGGCCACACUGGGACUGAGACACGGCCCAGACUCCUACGGGAGGCAGCAGUGGGGAAUAUUGCACAAUGGGCGCAAGCCUGAUGCAGCGACGCCGCGUGAGGGAUGACGGCCUUCGGGUUGUAAACCUCUUUCAGUAGGGAAGAAGCGAGAGUGACGGUACCUGCAGAAGAAGCGCCGGCUAACUACGUG